Molecule: ribosomal RNA, 1389 nt
Filed under: Shigella boydii
Lineage: Bacteria; Pseudomonadati; Pseudomonadota; Gammaproteobacteria; Enterobacterales; Enterobacteriaceae
Description: partial 23S ribosomal RNA
Rfam family: Bacterial large subunit ribosomal RNA
Source: RNAcentral
UACGGUGCUGAAGCAACAAAUGCCCUGCUUCCAGGAAAAGCCUCUAAGCAUCAGGUAACAUCAAAUCGUACCCCAAACCGACACAGGUGGUCAGGUAGAGAAUACCAAGGCGCUUGAGAGAACUCGGGUGAAGGAACUAGGCAAAAUGGUGCCGUAACUUCGGGAGAAGGCACGCUGAUAUGUAGGUGAAGUCCCUCGCGGAUGGAGCUGAAAUCAGUCGAAGAUACCAGCUGGCUGCAACUGUUUAUUAAAAACACAGCACUGUGCAAACACGAAAGUGGACGUAUACGGUGUGACGCCUGCCCGGUGCCGGAAGGUUAAUUGAUGGGGUCAGCGCAAGCGAAGCUCUUGAUCGAAGCCCCGGUAAACGGCGGCCGUAACUAUAACGGUCCUAAGGUAGCGAAAUUCCUUGUCGGGUAAGUUCCGACCUGCACGAAUGGCGUAAUGAUGGCCAGGCUGUCUCCACCCGAGACUCAGUGAAAUUGAACUCGCUGUGAAGAUGCAGUGUACCCGCGGCAAGACGGAAAGACCCCGUGAACCUUUACUAUAGCUUGACACUGAACAUUGAGCCUUGAUGUGUAGGAUAGGUGGGAGGCUUUGAAGUGUGGACGCCAGUCUGCAUGGAGCCGACCUUGAAAUACCACCCUUUAAUGUUUGAUGUUCUAACGUUGACCCGUAAUCCGGGUUGCGGACAGUGUCUGGUGGGUAGUUUGACUGGGGCGGUCUCCUCCUAAAGAGUAACGGAGGAGCACGAAGGUUGGCUAAUCCUGGUCGGACAUCAGGAGGUUAGUGCAAUGGCAUAAGCCAGCUUGACUGCGAGCGUGACGGCGCGAGCAGGUGCGAAAGCAGGUCAUAGUGAUCCGGUGGUUCUGAAUGGAAGGGCCAUCGCUCAACGGAUAAAAGGUACUCCGGGGAUAACAGGCUGAUACCGCCCAAGAGUUCAUAUCGACGGCGGUGUUUGGCACCUCGAUGUCGGCUCAUCACAUCCUGGGGCUGAAGUAGGUCCCAAGGGUAUGGCUGUUCGCCAUUUAAAGUGGUACGCGAGCUGGGUUUAGAACGUCGUGAGACAGUUCGGUCCCUAUCUGCCGUGGGCGCUGGAGAACUGAGGGGGGCUGCUCCUAGUACGAGAGGACCGGAGUGGACGCAUCACUGGUGUUCGGGUUGUCAUGCCAAUGGCACUGCCCGGUAGCUAAAUGCGGAAGAGAUAAGUGCUGAAAGCAUCUAAGCACGAAACUUGCCCCGAGAUGAGUUCUCCCUGACUCCUUGAGAGUCCUGAAGGAACGUUGAAGACGACGACGUUGAUAGGCCGGGUGUGUAAGCGCAGCGAUGCGUUGAGCUAACCGGUACUAAUGAACCGUGAGGCUUAACCUUACAACGCCGAAGGUGUUU